Molecule: ribosomal RNA, 423 nt
Filed under: uncultured bacterium
Lineage: Bacteria
Description: partial 16S ribosomal RNA
Rfam family: Bacterial small subunit ribosomal RNA
Source: RNAcentral
AAUAUUGGACAAUGGGGGAAACCCUGAUCCAGCCAUGCCGCGUGUGUGAAGAAGGUCUUCGGAUUGUAAAGCACUUUAAGUUGGGAGGAAGGGCGUCAAGCUAAUACCUUGAUGCUUUGACGUUACCAACAGAAUAAGCACCGGCUAACUACGUGCCAGCAGCCGCGGUAAUACGUAGGGUGCAAGCGUUAAUCGGAAUUACUGGGCGUAAAGCGCGCGUAGGUGGUUUGUUAAGUUGGAAGUGAAAGCCCCGGGCUCAACCUGGGAACUGCUUUCAAAACUGGCAAGCUAGAGUAUGGCAGAGGGUGGUGGAAUUUCCUGUGUAGCGGUGAAAUGCGUAGAUAUAGGAAGGAACACCAGUGGCGGAGGCGACCACCUGGGCUAAUACUGACACUGAGGUGCGAAAGCGUGGGGAGCAAACAG